UCCCAUUACAUUCGUUUCAACAAUCAUUUUUUAACAACACAAGAAUCAAUCAAACAAUCAAAACAAGAAAAAAAAAGAAGAGAAUUUAAACAAGAAUCAAGAUCAA
This is a small nucleolar RNA of Candida albicans SC5314, 106 nucleotides long. The record is from RefSeq and is a predicted model, not a curated record. Lineage: Eukaryota; Fungi; Ascomycota; Pichiomycetes; Serinales; Debaryomycetaceae.